AGCGGGGCUGCGUCCCUGCCUACGAAAGCGGGUAGGGGCAGGCGCUCCGUUUCCGGUGGCAGGGUCUGGGAAAGGGGCGGCAGGCGCCAUGUCCGGCCGGGAAGGUGGCAAGAAGAAGCCCCUGAAACAGCCCAAGAAGCAGGCCAAGGAGAUGGACGAGGAAGAUAAGGCUUUCAAGCAGAAACAAAAAGAAGAGCAGAAGAAACUCGAAGAGCUAAAAGCAAAGGCCGCGGGGAAGGGGCCCCUGGGAGUCUCCCUCUGUCACCCAAGCUGGAGUGCAGCGGCGCG
This is a long non-coding RNA of Cebus imitator (Panamanian white-faced capuchin), 288 nucleotides long. RefSeq lists it as uncharacterized. The record is from RefSeq and is a predicted model, not a curated record. The transcript is spliced from 4 exons. NCBI's taxonomy places the organism in Eukaryota, Metazoa, Chordata, Mammalia, Primates, Cebidae.